UAUCCACUAUCGAAACAAACUUCUCAGGGUACAUAAGUUGUAAGAUAUGCUUGCCUUCUGGAAAUAUUUCAAGUCUGCAAUUCAAAAAACAAAAUGUAUGAUCAAAAAAUUGCUGCAGUGACGCAGUGUUAUUAGUAUAGUGGUGUGGUGGCUGGUCAAAAUAUCUUCGAAAUAAUGAUGGCAUCAUGCUUUCAAUGCAUCACUUGGAGCAAAUCAUGUUUCAAUAUGGAAAUUCUUACGCUUCUUAUAACAAGAACAAGUGUUACAAGAGGUUUAUCGGGAAAUCAAGUCCACCACGGUCCUCGGCGUAAAAAGUACGAGGAGCAUGAUAACAAAAUAAGAAAAAUUGUGGAAAACCGUGGAAAAUCGUUCUGAAGUAACACCAGUUGAAUAUUUAAGAGGUUUAUCUUACAAUAUUCAGUAUUAAUCACUAAUUUUAAUUUAACUAAUUAAGUGUUUAAUAAUAAUAAUUAUUUUGGAUUAUGAUAAAUGGGUUAAGUUUUUUUUUUAAUAAUAAUACAAUUUUAUAAUAUAUUAUAUGUGAUUACAUUUUUAAUUAUAAUGAAUGGAUUAGGUUUUUUUAAUGUGUAAUAAAAAAAAACAACAAUGUAUUAUAUGUAAUUAAAGUUUGAAUUAUGAUAAAUUAAUUAGGUUUUUUAAUAAUAAUAACAAGUAAUAACCCUCUA
Molecule: long non-coding RNA, 686 nt
Organism: Metopolophium dirhodum (rose-grain aphid)
Lineage: Eukaryota; Metazoa; Arthropoda; Insecta; Hemiptera; Aphididae
Exons: 3
Source: RefSeq, a predicted model, not a curated record